Manis javanica (Malayan pangolin) is the source of this 374-nucleotide long non-coding RNA. RefSeq lists it as uncharacterized. NCBI's taxonomy places the organism in Eukaryota, Metazoa, Chordata, Mammalia, Pholidota, Manidae. The record is from RefSeq and is a predicted model, not a curated record.
UCUCCUAGCCUGUGGCUAUGGCAAGAGAAUUAAAUGACACUGAAAACUCUGGAUAUGAAGAGAAACAGACUGAAACUGAAACUGCAAACACUGGGCCAAUGAAGAAUUGUGUAGGCUCAAGGUCUGAGAUUUCCUGGACCAUCCAGAUGAAGUAAAGCUGAACUACAAGUCCAGUUGGCUCGUGCCUUGCUCUUCGCUCACCAUCUGCUGUGUCGUCCUGAUGCAGGGAGAUGGAACAAGUCUGGCAUCGCUGGUUCACUGGGUCCCUGGCUGACUGACCUCACUACUCUCCAGUCAACUGCAUCUGUCUCCACACUCUCCAGAUUCCUGUUUAGCUAUCCAGACAUCCUCUGUUCUUCUACUUCUUCUCAAGG